RNAcentral lists this ribosomal RNA (253 nucleotides) under uncultured bacterium. RNAcentral describes it as "partial 16S ribosomal RNA". It matches the Rfam family "Bacterial small subunit ribosomal RNA", at positions 524 to 776 of the family's 1533-position model. The record is from RNAcentral.
UACGUAGGGUGCGAGCGUUGUCCGGAAUUAUUGGGCGUAAAGAGCUCGUAGCGGUGUGUCGCGUCGGCCGUGAAAACCUGGGGCUUAACUCUGGGCGUGCGGUCGAUACGGGCAUCACUAGAGUUCGGCAGGGGAGACUGGAAUUCCUGGUGUAGCGGUGAAAUGCGCAGAUAUCAGGAGGAACACCGAUGGCGAAGGCAGGUCUCUGGGCAUUAACUGACGCUGAGGCACGAAGGCCAGGGGAGCAAACGGG